RNAcentral lists this ribosomal RNA (253 nucleotides) under uncultured bacterium. RNAcentral's name for it is "partial 16S ribosomal RNA". It matches the Rfam family "Bacterial small subunit ribosomal RNA", at positions 524 to 776 of the family's 1533-position model. The record is from RNAcentral.
UACGUAGGGUGCAAGCGUUAUCCGGAAUUAUUGGGCGUAAAGAGCUCGUAGGCGGUUUGUCGCGUCUGCUGUGAAAACCCGAGGCUCAACCUCGGGCCUGCAGUGGGUACGGGCAGACUAGAGUGCGGUAGGGGAGAGUGGAAUUCCCGGUGUAGUGGUGGAAUGCGUAGAUAUCGGGAGGAACACCAGUGGCGAAAGCGGCUCUCUGGGGGCGAUCUGACGCUGAGGCGCGAAAGCGUGGGGAGCAAACAGG